This 426-nucleotide ribosomal RNA is filed under the name uncultured Pseudomonadaceae bacterium. RNAcentral describes it as "bacterial SSU rRNA". It matches the Rfam family "Bacterial small subunit ribosomal RNA", at positions 356 to 774 of the family's 1533-position model. The record is from RNAcentral. Lineage: Bacteria; Pseudomonadati; Pseudomonadota; Gammaproteobacteria; Pseudomonadales; Pseudomonadaceae.
GGGGAAUAUUGGACAAUGGGCGCAAGCCUGAUCCAGACAUACCGCGUGGGUGAAGAAGGCCUUCGGGUUGUAAAGCCCUUUUGUUGGGAAAGAAAAGCAGUCGGUUAAUAUCCAGGAAUUUUGACGUUACCGACAGAAUAAGCACCGGCUAACUUCGGGCCAGCAGCCGCGGUAAUACGAAGGGUGCAAGCGUUAAUCGGAAUUACUGGGCGUAAAGCGCGCGUAGGUGGUUCGUUAAGUUGGAUGUGAAAGCCCCGGGCUCAACCUGGGAACUGCAUCCAAAACUGGCGAGCUAGAGUAUGGCAGAGGGUGGUGGAAUUUCCUGUGUAGUGGUGAAAUGCGUAGAUAUAGGAAGGAACACCAGUGGCGAAGGCGACCACCUGGGCUAAUACUGACACUGAGGUGCGAAAGCGUGGGGAGCAAACA